CAAUAGCGUAUAUUUAAGUUGCUGCAGUUAAAAAGCUCGUAGUUGGAUUUCGGGUGGGAAUGGCCGGUCCGCCGUUUCGGUGUGCACUUGCUACGCCCACCUUGCUGCCGGGGACGUGCUCUUGAGUUCACGCUCGGGACACGGAGUCGGCGAGGUUACUUUGAGUAAAUUAGAGUGUUCAAAGCAGGCCUACGCUCUGAAUACAUUAGCAUGGAAUAACACGAUAGGACUCUGGCCUAUCUUGUUGGUCUGUAGGACCGGAGUAAUGAUUAAGAGGGACAGUCGGGGGCAUUCGUAUUUCAGUGUCAGAGGUGAAAUUCUUGGAUUUAUGAAAGACGAACUACUGCGAAAGCAUUUGCCAAGGAUGUUUUCAUUAA
RNAcentral lists this ribosomal RNA (377 nucleotides) under uncultured eukaryote. Its description in RNAcentral is "partial 18S ribosomal RNA". It matches the Rfam family "Eukaryotic small subunit ribosomal RNA", at positions 592 to 976 of the family's 1831-position model. The record is from RNAcentral.